Molecule: ribosomal RNA, 2153 nt
Filed under: Rodwayella sessilis
Lineage: Eukaryota; Fungi; Ascomycota; Leotiomycetes; Helotiales; Pezizellaceae
Description: eukaryotic LSU rRNA
Rfam family: Eukaryotic large subunit ribosomal RNA (bases 897-2153)
Source: RNAcentral
CUGACGUAGAUUCAGGAACAUGAUUCUUUCGUGGCACUACCUACAGAAGCCUUUGUGACCCCGCAAGGGGUGUUCCGCGACAUAAAAUAAUGGAAUGCGCAAGUCAGCCUGCGCUGGCAACAUGAUCGAAUUGCGGGAAGCCCUAAAGCCUUACGGUACCAACUGUUCGUGGAAACGCUAGCAGGGCCAGUGCUAACACCACUGGGUGGUCAGAACCUGUAGGGAUGCACAAUGGGUAAUCCGCAGCGAAGCUUCUACGGGCUGUUCUAGCCUACGAAGAACGCUCACAGACUAGGCGGUCGUGGCUAGGAUGCGCUGAGCGUCCUGGCUAAAAUAUAGUCGGGUCUCCCUAGCGAUAGGGGGCUGGAUAGCGCCUUUUAAGCGCUAUCUACACUAAACCGUUCCGUUGGUGAACCAGCGGAAGGAUCAUUACAGAGAUCAUGCCCUAACGGGUAGACCUCCCACCCUGUGUUAUUUACCUUUGUUGCUUUGGCAGGCCACCUCUGGGCGCUGGCUUCGGCUGCGCAGUGCUUGCCAAGGGACCUCAACUCUGAUUUUAGUGCUGUCUGAGCCUAUUGUUAAUACGUUAAAACUUUCAACAACGGAUCUCUUGGUUCUGGCAUCGAUGAAGAACGCAGCGAAAUGCGAUAAGUAAUGUGAAUUGCAGAAUUUAGUGAAUCAUCGAAUCUUUGAACGCACAUUGCGCCCCUUGGUAUUCCGGGGGGCAUGCCUGUUCGAGCGUCAUUUCAACCCUCAAGCCUCGCUUGGUGUUGGGCCCUGCCGGAGACGGCUGGCCCUAAAAUCAGUGGCAGUGCCGGUGGGCUCUAUGCGUAGUACUAUACCCUCGCUACUGAGACCUCCCGUGCGCGCGCCAGCAAUCCCUAAUUUUCUAUGGUUGACCUCGGAUCAGGUAGGGAUACCCGCUGAACUUAAGCAUAUCAAUAAGCGGAGGAAAAGAAACCAACCGGGAUUACCUCAGUAACGGCGAGUGAAGCGGUAACAGCUCAAAUUUGAAAUCUGGCAACAGCCCGAGUUGUAAUUUGUAGAAGAUGCUUCGGGCGUGGCUUCGGUCUAAGUUCCCUGGAACAGGACGCUAUAAAGGGUGAGAGCCCCGUAUGCGACUGACUGCCGCGCCUAUGUGAAGCUCUUUCGACGAGUCGAGUUGUUUGGGAAUGCAGCUCAAAAUGGGUGGUAUAUUUCAUCUAAAGCUAAAUAUUGGCCAGAGACCGAUAGCGCACAAGUAGAGUGAUCGAAAGAUGAAAAGCACUUUGGAAAGAGAGUUAAACAGUACGUGAAAUUGUUGAAAGGGAAGCGUUUGCAAUCAGACUUGCGCGUUGCUGAUCAUCCAGCGUUUUCGCUGGUGCACUCAGCUUCGUUCAGGCCAGCAUCGGUUUAGGUGGUUGGAUAAAGGCCCUGGGAACGUGGCUCUUUUCGGGGAGUGUUAUAGCCCAGGGUGCAAUGCAGCCUAUCUGGACCGAGGACCGCGCUUCGGCUAGGAUGCUGGCGUAAUGAUUGUAAAUGACCCGUCUUGAAACACGGACCAAGGAGUCUAACAUUUAUGCGAGUAUUUGGGUGUUAAACCCAUCUGCGCAAUUAACGUGAACGGAGGUAAGAGCCUUAAGGGUGCAUUAUCGACCGGUCAUGAUGUCUUCGGACGGAUCUGAGUAAGAGCAUAACUGUUGGGACCCGAAAGAUGGUGAACUAUGCCUGAAUAGGGUGAAGCCAGAGGAAACUCUGGUGGAGGCUCGCAGCGGUUCUGACGUGCAAAUCGAUCGUCAAAUUUGGGCAUAGGGGCGAAAGACUAAUCGAACCAUUGAUACUAGGUGGUUAACAGGAGCUCUCAUCCAGCACCUAGUCCAGCGUCUUGCUGGGCCACAUUACCAAAUUGCCGGGGACGUCCUGCUAAAUUCUAGGCCACUGCAGCUGUGUUGAAAGACCAGCGCGCACCAAGUGAACACUUGGGGAGAGUUAUAGCGCUUAGAUAGGGACAAUCCGCAGCCAAGCCCUAACGGCGUCAGCCUACGGGUGCAGUUCACAGACUAAAUGGUAGUGGGUUUAGCACGUGGUGCUAGGCUUAAGUGAUAGUCGAUCCGCCGGGAGACCGGUUGACGCGCCAGCGUAGAUAGUGAUAUCUACAGCGUGCGGGUCAGGAG